GACAGAGGAGCCAAGCGUUGUCCGGAUUGACUGGGCGUAAAGGGCGCGUAGGUGGCGCGACAAGUCAACGGUGAAAGCUCGGCGCUCAACGCCGAGUCGGCCGUCGAUACUGUCGGGCUGGAGCACUGUAGAGGCAGAUGGAAUUCCGGGUGUAGCGGUGGAAUGCGUAGAGAUCCGGAAGAACACCGGUGGCGAAGGCGGUCUGCUGGGCAGUAGCUGACGCUGAGGCGCGACAGCGUGGGGAGCAAACAGG
This 253-nucleotide ribosomal RNA is filed under the name uncultured bacterium. RNAcentral's name for it is "partial 16S ribosomal RNA". It matches the Rfam family "Bacterial small subunit ribosomal RNA", at positions 524 to 776 of the family's 1533-position model. The record is from RNAcentral.